RNAcentral lists this long non-coding RNA (1716 nucleotides) under Marmota monax (woodchuck). The record is from RNAcentral. Lineage: Eukaryota; Metazoa; Chordata; Mammalia; Rodentia; Sciuridae.
UGAAAAUGUUUCUUUUAACAAGAAACUAGGUUAAUAUGAGAUACAUGAGUCUUUUCCAAAUUUUAUAUGUUGGUAUGAUUUACCAGUGUGCAUUAGAAAAAUGGAACAAAUACUUGGCUUUCCUUCAGUAGUUUACCCUCACAGGGGCUUUCUACAAGGCAGGGUGUAUAUCAUCACCAACAAGAUUUCUUUAGGUGGUUGCAGAGUUUAAAGAUGUUUGCCGGGACCCUGAUCCUGGUCAGUAGCUCCUACUAAAAAGAAAAAGAAAAAUGUUGUGGAAAAUUCCAAGUAUAUACCAUAAUUGAGGAAAUAGUAGAGUGAAUUCCCAUGCAUCCAUUUCCCACUUCAGUGACAUAAAUUCUUCAAUGUCUGUUUCUAAUAGACAAAAUUUAAUGUAAUCAUACUCAACACAAGUCACAAUGAUUCUCUUCUAUAAUCCUUCUGUGUUUUGUCCCCCCAGCCCCCACCAGCCCCAUGGCCUCAAAAGUCCACAGUUGCACUACGUUCCUAUGGCAGGAAAGAUGAGUUCUGACGAGAGACCACUAACUUAGUAACUGGAAAGUCUUGGUGAUCUUGAUAAUGUGGAUGUUGGAAGUGAAAACUUAGAGUGGAUUUGGGAACAUUUGGGAAGAAAGAAAUUUUAAUUAAUGAGCACUAAUAAUAAUUUUGAGGGAUUUUAUUUUAAAGGAAGAAAGAAGAUGGGACAGUAGCUGGAAAAGAGUCAAGAAAAUACUAUUUAUUUUACUCAUUGAUUGUUUUUUUAUUUCUAAGAACUUUUUUAUUGGUACAUAAUAAUUAUACAGAAUAGUGGGAUUCAUUGUGGCAUAUUCACACAUGCAUAUGACAUAAGUGAGCAGUUUUAUUACCUCCCCUUAACCUCCACUCCUCCCUCUCCCCUCUUGUUCUCCUGUCUAGGCAUUUCUGGGUGAUUCCUUUCUUUUUUGUUCCAGAGCUUCCACAUACGAGAGAAAGCAUCCAAUCCUGGUUUAUUUCUCUUAAUGUGAUACUCAUUCAUUUUCCUGCAGAUGACAUAAUUUCUUCUUCAUGGCUGAACAAAACUGUAUUGUGUAUAUAUACCACAUUUUUACCCAUUCAAUAGACAGAUACCUCGCCUGGUUCCAUAACUUGGCUAUCGCAAAUUGUGCUACCAUAAACAUGGGCAUACAUCUAUCUCUACAGUGUACUGACUUUAAUUCCUUUGAGUAAAUAGCAAGGAGUAGUAGAGCUGGAUCAUUUGGUAGUCGCAGUCUUGAGGAACCUCCAUACUGAGUUCCAUAGUGGUUGUACUAAUUUACAAUCCCACCAACAGUGUAUAAGUGUUCCAUUUCACGACAUCCUUGCUGACAUUACUAUUUGUACUCUUAAUUAUUGCCAUUGUUACUAGAGUGAGACAAAAUCUGUGUAGUUUUGAUUUGCAUUUCCCUGACUGCUAAAGAUAUUGAACACUUUUUCAUAUAAUUGUUGUCUGUUCUUUUAAGAAUUGUGUGUUUAGUUCAUUUACCAAUUUAUUGAUUGGGGUGUUUUUUUUUGGGGGGGGGGGAUGAGUUCUUUAUGUAUUCUGGAUAUUAGUUCUCUAUCAGAAGAGUAGCUAAUAGAUUUUUUUUCCCCAGUCUGUAGGCUCUCUCUCCAUGCUGUUAACUCAGUAAGUCCUAAAUUUUUUGGACUAUGUUUCAACAAAAUUGACGCAGGUGUAAAUUGGCACAUAGUUGGAAAUCG